UACGGAGGGUGCAAGCAUUAAUCGGAUUUAUUGGGCGUAAAGAGCGCGUAGGUGGGAAAGAAAGUCAGACGUGAAAGCCCAGGGCUCAACCCUGGAACUGCGUUUGAAACUUCUUUUCUUGAGGGUAGGCGGAGAAAACGGAAUUCCACAAGUAGCGGUGAAAUGCGUAGAUAUGUGGAAGAACACCGGUGGCGAAGGCGGUUUUCUAGCUUAUUCCUGACACUGAGGCGCGAAAGCUAGGGGAGCGAACAGGAUUAGAUACCCCAGUAGUCC
This 273-nucleotide ribosomal RNA is filed under the name uncultured bacterium. RNAcentral's name for it is "partial 16S ribosomal RNA". It matches the Rfam family "Bacterial small subunit ribosomal RNA", at positions 524 to 796 of the family's 1533-position model. The record is from RNAcentral.